AUUGAACGCUGGCGGCAGGCCUAACACAUGCAAGUCGAACGGUAACAGGAAGAAGCUUGCUUCUUUGCUGACGAGUGGCGGACGGGUGAGUAAUGUCUGGGAAACUGCCUGAUGGAGGGGGAUAACUACUGGAAACGGUAGCUAAUACCGCAUAACGUCGCAAGACCAAAGAGGGGGACCUUCGGGCCUCUUGCCAUCGGAUGUGCCCAGAUGGGAUUAGCUAGUAGGUGGGUAACGGCUCACCUAGGCGACGAUCCCUAGCUGGUCUGAGAGGAUGACCAGCCACACUGGAACUGAGACACGGUCCAGACUCCUACGGGAGGCAGCAGUGGGGAAUAUUGCACAAUGGGCGCAAGCCUGAUGCAGCCAUGCCGCGUGUAUGAAGAAGGCCUUCGGGUUGUAAAGUACUUUCAGCGGGGAGGAAGGGAGUAAAGUUAAUACCUUUACUCAUUGACGUUACCCGCAGAAGAAGCACCGGCUAACUCCGUG
RNAcentral lists this ribosomal RNA (489 nucleotides) under uncultured bacterium. RNAcentral's name for it is "partial 16S ribosomal RNA". It matches the Rfam family "Bacterial small subunit ribosomal RNA", at positions 30 to 507 of the family's 1533-position model. The record is from RNAcentral.